This 692-nucleotide ribosomal RNA is filed under the name uncultured Alphaproteobacteria bacterium. RNAcentral's name for it is "bacterial SSU rRNA". It matches the Rfam family "Bacterial small subunit ribosomal RNA", at positions 38 to 776 of the family's 1533-position model. The record is from RNAcentral. Lineage: Bacteria; Pseudomonadati; Pseudomonadota; Alphaproteobacteria.
GGCGGCAUGCCUAACACAUGCAAGUCGAACGAAGGCUUCGGCCUUAGUGGCGCACGGGUGCGUAACGCGUGGGAAUCUGCCCUUGGGUUCGGAAUAACAGUUAGAAAUGACUGCUAAUACCGGAUGAUGACGAAAGUCCAAAGAUUUAUCGCCCAGGGAUGAGCCCGCGUAGGAUUAGGUAGUUGGUGGGGUAAAGGCCUACCAAGCCGACGAUCCUUAGCUGGUCUGAGAGGAUGAUCAGCCACACUGGGACUGAGACACGGCCCAGACUCCUACGGGAGGCAGCAGUGGGGAAUAUUGGACAAUGGGCGAAAGCCUGAUCCAGCAAUGCCGCGUGAGUGAUGAAGGCCUUAGGGUCGUAAAGCUCUUUUACCAGGGAUGAUAAUGACAGUACCUGGAGAAUAAGCUCCGGCUAACUCCGUGCCAGCAGCCGCGGUAAUACGGAGGGAGCUAGCGUUGUUCGGAAUUACUGGGCGUAAAGCGCACGUAGGCGGUUAUUCAAGUCAGAGGUGAAAGCCCGGGGCUCAACCCCGGAACUGCCUUUGAAACUAGAUGACUGGAAUCUUGGAGAGGUCAGUGGAAUUCCGAGUGUAGAGGUGAAAUUCGUAGAUAUUCGGAAGAACACCAGUGGCGAAGGCGACUGACUGGACAAGUAUUGACGCUGAGGUGCGAAAGCGUGGGGAGCAAACAGG